UCUUCGGAGAGUUUGAUCCUGGCUCAGGACGAACGCUGGCGGCGUGCCUAAUACAUGCAAGUCGAGCGAAUCGAUGGGAGCUUGCUCCCGGAGAUUAGCGGCGGACGGGUGAGUAACACGUGGGCAACCUGCCGAUAAGACUGGGAUAACUUCGGGAAACCGGAGCUAAUACCGGAUACGUUCUUUUCUCGCAUGAGAGAAGAUGGAAGAACGGUUUACGCUGUCACUUAUAGAUGGGCCCGCGGCGCAUUAGCUAGUUGGUGAGGUAACGGCUCACCAAGGCGACGAUGCGUAGCCGACCUGAGAGGGUGAUCGGCCACACUGGGACUGAGACACGGCCCAGACUCCUACGGGAGGCAGCAGUAGGGAAUCUUCCGCAAUGGACGAAAGUCUGACGGAGCAACGCCGCGUGAACGAAGAAGGCCUUCGGGUCGUAAAGUUCUGUCGUUAGGGAAGAACAAGUACCAGAGUAACUGCUGGUACCUUCGACGGUACCUGAACCAGAAAGCCACGGCUAACUACGUGCCAGCAGCCGCGGUAAUACGUAGGCGCAAGCGUUGUCCGGAAUUAUUGGGCGUAAAGCGCGCGCAGGUGGUUCCUUAAGUCUGAUGUGAAAGCCCGAUGGGCUCAACCGUGGAGGGUCAUUGGAAACUGGGGAACUGAGUGCAGAAGAGGAAAGUGGAAUUCCAAGUGUAGCGGUGAAAUGCGUAGAGAUUUGGAGGAACACCAGUGGCGAAGGCGACUUUCUGGUCUGCAACUGACACUGAGGCGCGAAAGCGUGGGGAGCAAACAGGAUCAGAUACCCUGGUAGUCGACGCCGUAAACGAUGAGUGCUAAGUGUUAGAGGGUUUCCGCCCUUUAGUGCUGCAGCUAACGCAUUAAGCAUUCUGCCUGGGGAGUACGGCCAAGGCUGAAACUCAAAGGAAUUGACGGGGGGCCCGCACAAGCGGGUGGAGCAUGUGGUUUAAUUCGAAGCAACGCGAAGAACCUUACCAGGUCUUGACAUCCUCUGACAACCCUAGAGAUAGGGCUUUCCCCUUCGGGGGACAGAGUGACAGGUGGUGCAUGGUCGUCGUCAGCUCGUGUCGUGAGAUGUUGGGUUAAGUUCCCGCAACGAGCGCAACCCUUGAUCUUAGUUGCCAGCAUUCAGUUGGGCACUCUGAAGGUGACUGCCGGUGACAAACCGGAGGAAGGUGGGGAUGACGUCAAAUCAUCAUGCCCCUUAUGACCUGGGCUACACACGUGCUACAAUGGAUGGUACAAAGGGCUGCAAACCUGCGAAGGUAAGCGAAUCCCAUAAAGCCAUUCUCAGUUCGGAUUGCAGGCUGCAACUCGCCUGCAUGAAGCCGGAAUCGCUAGUAAUCGCGGAUCAGCAUGCCGCGGUGAAGAUGUUCCCGGGCCUUGUACACACCGCCCGUCACACCACGAGAGUUUGUAACACCCGAAGUCGGUGAGGUAACCUUCAUGGAGCCAGCCGCCUAAGGUGGGACAGAUGAUUGGGGUGAAGUCGUAACAAGGUAGCCGUAUCGGAAGGUGCGGCUGGAUCACCUCCUUU
This 1555-nucleotide ribosomal RNA is filed under the name Peribacillus frigoritolerans. RNAcentral's name for it is "bacterial SSU rRNA". It matches the Rfam family "Bacterial small subunit ribosomal RNA". The record is from RNAcentral. Lineage: Bacteria; Bacillati; Bacillota; Bacilli; Caryophanales; Bacillaceae.